GGCGGGCCGCGCGGCGGGAAGAUGGCGGCCGCCAUGAGGGCGGGUGUGGGGCGCCUGGGCCUGAGGGCGAGCUGGCGGACUGCGGAGUCGAUGCUCUGGCCUGCUGGAGUGGCUCCGGCCUGCCUUCGUAUCCCCGUGAGAACGAAGAAGAAGAGGUUUUUUGUCCCCGAGUGGGCCAGGGAACUGACCCCUGAAGAGAAAGAGAGGAGGCUCAAGUCUUUGGGGACAAUGUUUCCCGAGGAGCGCUUAGAACGGACUUUCUACUUGGCCUGCACAGCUGAUAUUAUAGACCCUUACGUGCCUCCUGAGGGUGAUGCCCGCUUGAGUUCCCUAUCCAAAGAUGGGCUGAAGCAAAAGGUGGAGAAGCUGAAGCAGACGGCUGCCUCCCAGCUAGCUCUGCGGAAGAUAAAAGAUCAUGACCUGGAUUUCAGCACUAAAACCUUCCCAGAGAAGGCACAGGAGAUAUUUAUUGAAGCUCACAACUGCCUGGUGAAUUUUAACAAGCAGAAACUUCACUCCCUGGUGACAGAGCGCUGCUACCCGGAAAUGGUCCGUGGGAACAGGUACAAGACCAUCCGGUGGAGCUUUGUGGAGUCACUGGAGCCUCCAAGAGUGGUUCACAUUCGCUGCAGCAGCAUCAUCAAUCGGGGCAACCUGUACGGGCAGGUGACAGUGCGGAUGCACACCCGGCAGAUCCUGGCAAUCUAUGACCGCUUUGGGCGGCUGAUGUAUGGUGGGGAGCAAGUGCCCAAGGACGUUUUGGAGUAUGUGGUGUUUGAGAGGUACUUGGUCAACCCUUAUGGCACGUGGAGGAUGCACGGCAAGAUUGUUCCCGAGUGGGCUCCACCAAAGGACCCCAUCAUUAAGACGGUGCUGAUUCCUGGCCCAACUUUGAGUCCCUCACAAGAGUAUGAAGAAACAAAGUAGGAGGUUCCAGAGCUUGCACAGAGACAGCAGCACAAACAGCCCCUGGAGGGAAGGAGUGAAGGGUGUCUCUGGAGGAAGUGGGUUGGAUAUGGCUCUGUCUUUCCAGUGAGCAGUCAGCAAGUUGAAUGGACCCACUCACUAAGAAGUUCUUUAAAGGACCAAGAGGGGCCUUGGAGGGGGAUUCAGAUGUGCUCUGUGGAGAGCUUUACUCUGUCCAAGUAGCCUUGAUGUGCUGCAGCUUCACCCUCUCUGUGUUUCUGUGAAGACAAGAAGUCUGAUCUCUUCAGAGCUGCUCUCUAGGCUGACCUCAGUCCUGAACCUGCAUCACAAGAGCACUUGGCAGCAGAGGUGCUGCAGUUGUGCUUCUGCUGAACAGCUGUUUGAUCAUGGCCAACCUUCCCAGAGGGGCUGCAGCACAGUACUGGGAAUUUAAUGACAUUUUUAGCCUUCUAAGGUCACCGUUUGUGUCAACCACCACCUUUGGGACAGGCAGCAUUUCGAGUUCUGGCACAUUCUUUGCUGAUGAUUCAGUGGUGGGUGCUGUUGGUGAGCAGUUGGCACCAUCCAGUGGACAGGGUGAGUCUCAUCAGGUCUCCUGCCUUUGCAGGCUGCCUGGGUCAGGAAAACACCUGCCCAGAGGUUACCUUUGUGGCUGGGAGUAAGCCAGUGCACUAUGGUCACCUGCUAACUUCCAUUUAGUCCUAAUCACAGAGCAAAAUAUUCACUAGUCCUCCAACGAUGACGCAUUUUCUUUUUUCAGCCUUGUUCUACUCUUUAACUCAGCCAUUUCCCAGAGCCUGUGAGCAUCAAGUGUGUUUUCUUCCUUGAAAGAGAUUUUGUGAAGGAGUUACAUCUCCUUAUGCUUGCAGGGUUGCUCAGUAUUUCUUGUGAAUGAUCUCCUUUUGGAAGGGCAGAAUAUCAUCUUUAUGCUCUGUUAGGAGAGGAGCCAGCAGUGGAAUCCCUUUCAUCUUUCUGGAAAUCAGAGGGGUGUCACAAUCUGUCUGCCUUUCCUGAAAGAGCCUACUGUAUUGAGCGCUCUGCCUACGCUUCCUUCACGGGCUGAGAAGAGACUCGGUGCUGCAGCAUCUGUUAGCUGGGCCAGGAGCUAAAGAAAAUCAGUGUGAGCUGCCUGGGCUGUGUCUGGUGUGACUCAGGGGGCUUACGUGCAGGUAUGGAUGUUACUCCUUACCCAAAACUUGAUGGAAAGGCUCUUCAGUUCAGGCUCUGGGUGGAAAGAGUGUGUUUUCUGGUGGAGUUUUCUGGGACACUGACUUUCCCUUCCCAUUUAGCACUGUCUGCCUCUCCAUCUCAUUUGCCAAUACUCAAACCUCUGCAACCAAAGUGCUUCUGUUGCUGGAUGUCCCUCAUGGCCUCACUGCUUUCUGGGGUACCUCCUCCUUCAGCAUAUUUAUCAUAGAGUUAUAGAAUUGUUUCAGUUGCAAAAGCCCUUGAAGCUGCUGCAGUCCCAGCCCUGCCCUCACCCUGCCCAGCCCACCACUAACCCACGGCCCUCAGCACCUCAGCUCCACGGCUUUGGGAUCCCUCCAGGCCUGGGCACCCCCCGCAGCUCCCUGGGCAGCCUGGCACAGGGGCUGACACCCCUCUCAGGGAAAAAUUUCUUCCCAAUCUCAUCUUGGCACAACUUGAGGGUGUUUCCUCUUGUCUUGUUAGCUGGGGAGGAGUGACAGACACUGUGCCCCACCACUCCCCAGGCCACAGCCUCCUGUCAGGGAGUUGCAGAGAGAGAGAAGGUUUCUCCCCAACUCCCUCAGCUGUCAGAGUUGUGCUCCAGCUCCUUCCCCAGCUGUAGUGGUUGUACCUGGGCCAGGUUUUGGUAAUGGGGAACUACAGGGGUGGCUUCUUUAAGCAAAGAUCUGCCAGAAGCUUCCACUGCAGCUGACAGGGCUAGUGCCAGUCAGUUCUAAGAUGGAUCCAGGCCUGGCCAGUUAGUGGCUGAUUCAGUUUUAUUUCUCAUCU
This is an RNA transcript of Colius striatus (speckled mousebird), 2904 nucleotides long. It is a transcript of the gene named mitochondrial ribosomal protein L45, with no coding region annotated. The record is from RefSeq and is a predicted model, not a curated record. NCBI's taxonomy places the organism in Eukaryota, Metazoa, Chordata, Aves, Coliiformes, Coliidae. The transcript is spliced from 9 exons.